RNAcentral lists this ribosomal RNA (934 nucleotides) under Massilia niabensis. RNAcentral's name for it is "bacterial SSU rRNA". It matches the Rfam family "Bacterial small subunit ribosomal RNA", at positions 56 to 988 of the family's 1533-position model. The record is from RNAcentral. Lineage: Bacteria; Pseudomonadati; Pseudomonadota; Betaproteobacteria; Burkholderiales; Oxalobacteraceae.
UGCAAGUCGAACGGCAGCGCGGGGCAACCUGGCGGCGAGUGGCGAACGGGUGAGUAAUAUAUCGGAACGUACCCAAGAGUGGGGGAUAACGUAGCGAAAGUUACGCUAAUACCGCAUACGAUCUAAGGAUGAAAGCAGGGGACCGCAAGGCCUUGUGCUCCUGGAGCGGCCGAUAUCUGAUUAGCUAGUUGGUAGGGUAAAGGCCUACCAAGGCUACGAUCAGUAGCUGGUCUGAGAGGACGACCAGCCACACUGGAACUGAGACACGGUCCAGACUCCUACGGGAGGCAGCAGUGGGGAAUUUUGGACAAUGGGCGCAAGCCUGAUCCAGCAAUGCCGCGUGAGUGAAGAAGGCCUUCGGGUUGUAAAGCUCUUUUGUCAGGGAAGAAACGGUGGGGGCUAAUAUCCUCCACUAAUGACGGUACCUGAAGAAUAAGCACCGGCUAACUACGUGCCAGCAGCCGCGGUAAUACGUAGGGUGCAAGCGUUAAUCGGAAUUACUGGGCGUAAAGCGUGCGCAGGCGGUUUUGUAAGUCUGAUGUGAAAUCCCCGGGCUCAACCUGGGAAUUGCAUUGGAGACUGCAAGGCUAGAAUCUGGCAGAGGGGGGUAGAAUUCCACGUGUAGCAGUGAAAUGCGUAGAGAUGUGGAGGAACACCGAUGGCGAAGGCAGCCCCCUGGGUCAAGAUUGACGCUCAUGCACGAAAGCGUGGGGAGCAAACAGGAUUAGAUACCCUGGUAGUCCACGCCCUAAACGAUGUCUACUAGUUGUCGGGUUUUAAUUAACUUGGUAACGCAGCUAACGCGUGAAGUAGACCGCCUGGGGAGUACGGUCGCAAGAUUAAAACUCAAAGGAAUUGACGGGGACCCGCACAAGCGGUGGAUGAUGUGGAUUAAUUCGAUGCAACGCGAAAAACCUUACCUACCCUUGACAUG